GACGAACGCUGGCGGCGUGCCUAAUACAUGCAAGUUGAGCGCUGAAGGUUGGUACUUGUACCAACUGGAUGAGCAGCGAACGGGUGAGUAACGCGUGGGGAAUCUGCCUUUGAGCGGGGGACAACAUUUGGAAACGAAUGCUAAUACCGCAUAAAAACUUUAAACACAAGUUUUAAGUUUGAAAGAUGCAAUUGCAUCACUCAAAGAUGAUCCCGCGUUGUAUUAGCUAGUUGGUGAGGUAAAGGCCCACCAAGGCGAUGAUACAUAGCCGACCUGAGAGGGUGGUCGGCCCCCUUGGGACUGGGACACGGCCCAAACUCCUUCGGGAGGCAGCAGUAGGGAAUCUUCGGCAAUUGACGGAAGUCUGACAGGGCAACGCCGCGGGAGUGAAGAAGGUUUUCGGAUCGUAAAACUCUGUUGGUAGAGAAGAACGUUGGUGAGAGUGGAAAGCUCAUCAAGUGACGGUAACUACCCAGAAAGGGACGGCUAACUACGUG
Molecule: ribosomal RNA, 497 nt
Filed under: uncultured bacterium
Lineage: Bacteria
Description: partial 16S ribosomal RNA
Rfam family: Bacterial small subunit ribosomal RNA
Source: RNAcentral